ACGACGUCGCGUGUGGGAUGAAGGGUUUCGGCUCGUAAACCACUGUCAGACGGGAAGAUGGGGUUGACGAUUAAUACUCGUCGAUCUUGACUGUACCGUCAGAGGAAGCACCGGCUAACUACGUGCCAGCAGCCGCGGUAAUACGUAGGGUGCAAGCGUUACUCGGAAUCAUUGGGCGUAAAGGGUGUGUAGGCGGAACAGUAAGUCAGAUGUGAAAGCCUUGGGCUCAACCCAAGAAGUGCAUUUGAUACUGCUGAUCUAGAAUUCAGGAGAGGAAGGAAGAAUUCCCGGUGUAGAGGUGAAAUCCGUAGAUAUCGGGAGGAAUACCGGAGGCGAAGGCGUCCUUCUGGACUGAUAUUGACGCUGAGACACGAAAGCGUGGGUAGCAAACAGGAUUAGAUACCCUGGUAGUCCACGCCCUAAACGAUGGUUACUAGAUGAGGUGGGAUUUGACCCCUGCCGUAUCGAAGCUAACGCGAUAAGUAACCCGNCUGGGGAGUACGGNCGCAAGGCUAAAACUCAAAGGAAUUGACGGGGGCCCGCACAAGCGGUGGAGCAUGUGGNUUAAUUCGAAGGCACGCGAAGAACUUUU
RNAcentral lists this ribosomal RNA (592 nucleotides) under uncultured bacterium. RNAcentral's name for it is "bacterial SSU rRNA". It matches the Rfam family "Bacterial small subunit ribosomal RNA", at positions 391 to 973 of the family's 1533-position model. The record is from RNAcentral.